Molecule: ribosomal RNA, 253 nt
Filed under: uncultured bacterium
Lineage: Bacteria
Description: partial 16S ribosomal RNA
Rfam family: Bacterial small subunit ribosomal RNA
Source: RNAcentral
UACGAAGGGUGCAAGCGUUACUCGGAAUUACUGGGCGUAAAGCGUGCGUAGGUGGUGCGUUAAGUCUGUCGUGAAAGCCCCGGGCUCAACCUGGGAACUGCAUUUGAAACUGGCGGGCUUGAGUGUGGCAGAGGGGGGUGGAAUUCCGCGUGUAGCAGUGAAAUGCGUAGAGAUGCGGAGGAACACCGAUGGCGAAGGCAGCCCCCUGGGCCAACACUGACGCUCAGGCACGAAAGCGUGGGGAGCAAACAGG